Molecule: transfer RNA, 65 nt
Filed under: Cherax sp. HMG-2016
Lineage: Eukaryota; Metazoa; Arthropoda; Malacostraca; Decapoda; Parastacidae
Description: tRNA-Arg
Source: RNAcentral
AAUUAGAAAGCGAAAUAAUCGCAUUUAGUUUCGACCUAAAUUUUGGUUCUGCAAACCUCUAAUUU